Musa acuminata subsp. malaccensis (wild Malaysian banana) is the source of this 4648-nucleotide RNA transcript. RefSeq lists it as uncharacterized. Lineage: Eukaryota; Viridiplantae; Streptophyta; Magnoliopsida; Zingiberales; Musaceae. The record is from RefSeq and is a predicted model, not a curated record.
UUAGUCGUGUAUGUGUUUUCCCUCCUAAUGUUACGUCUGAGCUUACAAUGGCAUUACAGUAACUUCAUCUUCUUUACUUGAAGUAGAAAGGGAAGAAAAGAGGUAAAAGGAUUGGAGAAGCGUAAAAAUCACUCACAGGGAGUAGCUGUGAAGUGCGGAGAGAGCGGAAGAUUGCCUCAAGAGCAACUGCAGUUAUUUCAAAAGCGCAGUAGGGAGGCGAGAGAAGAGAGACUAACGAGAUCGCGCCCCUGCCUUUCCAAUCUCCUCCAAGUUCUUCCUUUUCUCCCCUCUCGACCUCUUCCGAUCCCGAAAUCCUUGGAAAGUGGGGAUUUUUUUCGUUGCCAUACGGUUCGCUGCUCCGUUACCGGAUCGAUUGCUGAAUGCCGCUCGUUUGCGCCUCGAGUUCGCGCCGGGGGAGACUGCGGUAGGACAAAGACGCCAGCCUUCGUGCCUGUCGGUCGAUGGCGGACAAGCCCUAGGCGGAGGGUUGGCGUCGGGAAGGCAUCAGAUGCGGACAAAGGUGCGGAGUUUGAUUGAGUAUAUCAUUCUAUUUCCGACUUGAUCGGAAAUCCAAGUUUGAACAACGGAUUGAAGGACCACUCGUUAGAAACUAUCCAAAUUUUUAGAAGAAACAAACUGGAUGAUAGUAUUGCUGAUGAAAGCCACUACUGUGUGUGAGCGAAUCAUCGAUGUGGUGGUGCUUUAGGCUGUGGAAGUAAGGCAGCCUUUUGACUAGGAUACUGAAAGAUGCCACCUUCACCCUCGUUGAGGCGCUCUCCUGGGAUAGAACUGAGAAAGGGGAGUUCCCAUACAAGGGGCCAGAGUUUUGAAAGUGGAUUGCUGCUCAAGGCCAAAGAUGACGAUCUUGUUUUGUUCCAUGAGAUGCAGAAGCAUGAGACAGACAACUUCUUGCUACAUAUGUCUGACGAUUUUGAUGACUCCAUAACAAAAUUUGGUUACACUUCAGACCUCAAGCUCGGCAUAACUAUUCCAGCUGAAGGAGAGGCCAGUGGUCUACUGGACAUAGAUGGUGACAAAAAUGACUAUGAUUGGCUUUUAACACCUCCGGAUACUCCCCUCUUUCCAUCACUGGAUGAUGAGUCUCAACCACUUAACACUUCUAGGGGAAGGAUACGAAGUCAGCCAAUUUUGAUUUCAAGACCUUAUACGAAUGAGAAGACUCAGAGGACAAGUAGAAGUAGUGCAAGCCCCAAAAGGUUAAGCCUGUCUCCUCAAUCAAGCUAUGGUGUAGUCCAACCAUCUGCCAGACCAUCUUCACCUCCUCACUACACCUCUCCUGUUAUACGACAAACAACCCCCUCACAAAGAUCUUCCACUCCAACCAAGCCUUCAACACUGACUCCCAGGUCUUCAACUCCCACACUACAGAGGAUGAGUAGUGGUCUAAGUGGACAGACAUCCACUUCUGGUAGAAGGGGAACAUCCCCGGUAAAUAUGAACCGGGGUCAUUCUGCAUCACCAAAAUUAAGAGGCUGGCAAUCUAACAGUUUCCCCAUUAUUGAUGCACCACCAAAUUACCGCACUUCUCUGCCAGACCGGUUAUCUUCACGUGUUCGGGGUUCAUCUCCAGCUUCUGGAAAUUCAAUGGUUUCAUCUUCAAAAGUUGGAAGGCGAUCAAUGUCACCAUCAGCAUCUACAAAGGCCCGCUCGUCACACAAUCAUGAAAGUCACCAGUUUACCUCUUGCAAUAAGGCCUCUUUAGCAUCUUCUGGUGAUGAUGGUGUGGAUUCAGUGCUCUCUGUUGGACUAUCUGGUAACGCUGCAGUUAGAAAAUAUGGUGCUUCUGCAAACAGUAAGGCUAUCACAAAUUACAGGAAACCUUCCAGUUUUCCCUCUUCAGGUUCUGGCCCAAGAAGGUCUUUGGAUUCUGCAGUAAGACAGAUAGAUCACCAGAAAAUCCCCCAGAACAUGUUCAGGCCACUCAUGUCAAGUGUCCCUGCCACUACAUUUUAUGUUGGUAAAACAACACAUGGGACUACGUUCUCUAGGAGUUUGUCACAAUUUACUAAUCAUAAUGCAAGCACCAUAAAUGAUUUGAACUAUGCUGCUGAUGUGGAGGAUAGUGAUCAUGCCCAAAGUGAUCUGGCUGGUGAAUCAGAAAAGAUAAAAGAUUCUAAAACCCAAGAAGUGUCUAUGAGUAACUUUGAUGAGAUAAGUGAAGAUAACUGUUAUCAUGCUCUUUCUGGAAAACUUCGGGGUGGCACCAAAGGUUUUGAUCAAGGCAUGAACAAAGAAGAUGAUGUUCAGGAACUAGAAAGUUCUGCUGGUGAAACUGCACUUCAAUCUUCAGAUAUUGCUCGAUGUUCUGGGAUCGGAUCAUAUGUUGCUUGCUUAAUAUGUGGAAAACAUUUCCUUAUCAUAGAUGUGGAUGGAUACAAGGAUAUUUGCCAAGAAUGUGCUGCAACAGAUAAGCUAUUGGAUUCCAGAGGACAACGGGGCGAUCCAGAUAAAGCUACUGAUGUAACUGGAAAUGAUUCACUGGAUUCACCAGAUAGCAAAGUGCAUCUCCAAAUGGGAAUGGCUGAACGUCCUGAUAAGAAUCAGAGUGAAUUUUUACUUGGUAAACAUCAAUGCAAUUGUAAACAGGAUGUUAAUCUUUUCCCAGACAAUUGUCCACCUCAGAUAGCGAUAGACGUUGGGCUUGAACACCUUCCGGAACAGGUAAUGAAUAGCUUGAUAAAUAUAGGAGAUCAACCACUUCGUGAACAAUUAAUGAAUAGCCUUGAUGGAGAGAGUCCUAAAGAAGCUACUGGUAGAUAUAUUCCUCAACUAUCAAAUCCAACUGCAUAUUCUAGCCUAACAUUUGACAUUGCUGAGGGCACAGGCAUUUCAGCACUGGUAAUGCAAAGGUCUAGCAGCAUCAAAUGGCCUGCUGUGCAAAGGAGGGCUUACUCUGCUACAAGUAUAAUUUGUUCUGACCCUUCAUAUUCUAGGGAUAAUUUUAGUGGCAUGAAAUGCAACACCGGUAGGGAAAGUUCUUCAGCUUCUUCCUCCAUUGAUUUGGGUUCAUCUGCACAAACAGUGGCAUCUAGGAAAACAGACAUCUGUGUUCUACGCCAGUCAAGCAGAAGGAUGGAUGAGGUGGACACUUUGAAAAUCAAUUAUAGUAUGAAUGCUGAAAGCAACGAUUCACAAUCAGAAGCCUCUGUCAGUGUCACAGCGGCAUCAGCUAACCUUCACAGAAAAUAUGAAAAAAUUCUUUGUAGAAUUAUGAAGUCUGCUUAUAAUGAGGAUAUUCAAGAAGCGUCUCUGGAUACUGCAAACCAUGUCAACACCUAUGAAGAUACUAAUUUAAGCCAUGCGGAAAAUGCAUCCAUUGAAAAGGCUUUUAUAGGUCAAGAUACCUCCUGCGCACCAAUAUUGGAUCCAGAAUUUUGUUUUCAAUUGCAUGAUGCAACAAUCCAAGAUAAUUUAAAUGAUGACAACAGCACCUUAUCCAGAAAAACUAAUGAAGUAGUAUUCCAGAAUGAUAGAGUGGGAAUCCUGGAUUUAGAAUUAGAGGUGCCAAUUACUACUCCGGAUUGCUCUUCCAUUGAGGAUAAUCACAUGCUAAAUGAUAUCGGAUGUCAAGAUGACAUCUUGGAUGCUGCAAGUAACAGCUCUUCUAAUUUACUUUUGGAGCAGCAAAUUGAACAUUGUUUUCAGGAUGCACAAAAUGAGCAGGCACAUGGCGAAGCACCUACUUACAUGGAUGGUCUCCAAGAACCACACGCAAAAGUUGAAGCUCCGAGGAGAAGUAUGCAAAGAACCUUUACUUUGGAAGAAGCAACCGACACUGUGCUCUUCUGCAGUUCUAUUGUUCAUGAUCUGGCCUAUAAAGCUGCAGCCAUUGGAAUGGAAAAGGAGAUGGCUGCAUCCGACGCUUCUCGCCCAACAGUGACACGUUUAGCAAAAUCUAUUUCCUAUCAGAUGGAUUUUCAAAAUACAUCCAAUAAAUGUGUAAAAAAUUCACGGAAAGUCAAAAGGAAAAGGCUGGAAAUUGAUACCAAGAAGCCACCCAUGGACUUGGGAAAUGAUGGCAACUAUCCGGAGCUUGUAUCUUCCAGUGCUGAAGAUUUACAAAUGAUCAACAGCAUGAAGCCCCCAAAGCUGGAAUCCAAGUGCAACUGCACUGUGAUGUAGGGAGGUCCCUUGGAAUCCAAUUGCAAUGUUGUGACAACUGCAACAUUUGGUAAGCUUGUUAGCAGCCAAGAUCUGAGGGAUCUGUCAUCCGUGACACGUCAUGAUAAGCUUUAGCCUACCUUAAGCGCCUCCUGGAAGUUCAUCAGUGGUUAAUAAAGGUCGACAGCAUCAGUGUAAAAGAGCAAAAUUAUCACUUCCAAGAUUCUGAACAGAGAUCCAGUUGGUGAAUUGAUGACACAACAGAAUACUUCAUGCACUCAUGGCCUCUUUAGUUCAAUGCAUUUGUGGACAUACUUGAUCGCUAGAUUUCUGCAUCUGAACAUGCAGGAAUGAGGAUGCAGACUUGCUUGUUGAGUAUUAGGAUUCUCUGAUGCUAUAUGUGCAUGUGUGUUGACAGGAUAUGCUUAAAAGAAGAGGACUGUAGCAAGACAUUGCUCAUGAAACUACUGAACCAUAUGAACAUUGUGUUUGGAAACCAUAUUAUUGUCACGUUUGAGUGGCAUUA